This 253-nucleotide ribosomal RNA is filed under the name uncultured bacterium. Its description in RNAcentral is "partial 16S ribosomal RNA". It matches the Rfam family "Bacterial small subunit ribosomal RNA", at positions 524 to 776 of the family's 1533-position model. The record is from RNAcentral.
UACGAAGGGGGCUAGCUUUGCUCGGAAUUACUGGGCGUAAAGGGCGCGUAGGCGGACAGUUAAGUUGGGGGUGAAAGCCCGGGGCUCAACCUCGGAAUUGCCUUCAAUACUGGCUGUCUUGAGUAUGAGAGAGGUGUGUGGAACUCCGAGUGUAGAGGUGAAAUUCGUAGAUAUUCGGAAGAACACCAGUGGCGAAGGCGACACACUGGCUCAUUACUGACGCUGAGGCGCGAAAGCGUGGGGAGCAAACAGG